RNAcentral lists this ribosomal RNA (780 nucleotides) under Triticum aestivum (bread wheat). Its description in RNAcentral is "partial small subunit ribosomal RNA". The record is from RNAcentral. Lineage: Eukaryota; Viridiplantae; Streptophyta; Magnoliopsida; Poales; Poaceae.
AUGAGUGAUUUCCGGCCGAUCAGCCUCAUCCACUCUGUCGCCAAGCUGUUUUCUAAAGUCCUGUCCAUUCGGCUCGCCAACGUCAUCGACAAGCUCAUUAGCCCAGCGCAAACAGCAUUUCAGAGGAGGAAGUGCAUCCAAGACAGUUUUCUUUAUGUGCAGAACACGGUCAGAAAAUUGCAUCGCAGCAAAACCCCGGCACUUUUGCUGAAGCUCGACAUAGCCAAGGCUUUCGAUUGCGUUUCUUCGGAAUAUUUGUUAGAAUUAUUAGAGGUGCUCGGUUUUCCCCCGCGAUGGAGGGAUUGGAUUGCUCUACUGAUAUCGACGUCGUCCUCGUCCUGCCUCCUAAACGGGGUGCCAGGGGACUGCAUUGAUCAUCUUCGAGGGCUUAGGCAGGGAGAUCGACUAUCGCCACUGUUGUUUAUCUUAUGCAUCGAUACCCUCCACCAGCUGCUAGAGGUGGCCACUUCGUCUGGCCUGCUGGCGGCGCCGCCGGCGGCAGCAGCUAAGAUGCGCACAAGCUUGUACGCCGACGAUGUUUUCAUCUUCGUUAAUCCGGUGCGUGAAGAGAUAGACACCCUGCUAGGCCUGCUACGACAAUUCGGUGACACCACGGGCCUGUGGGUCAAUCUCUCCAAGUCGUCCGUGAUCCCAAUCCGCUGCAGCGACAUCGACCUGGCCGCGGUUCUGGUGAACUUUGGAGGGACAACUGCGGCGUUCCCAAUCACAUACCUAGGCCUGCCCAUCACGAUCGGAAGAAUUAGGCUAGUUCACCUGUAG